Ornithodoros turicata is the source of this 554-nucleotide long non-coding RNA. RefSeq lists it as uncharacterized. The record is from RefSeq and is a predicted model, not a curated record. NCBI's taxonomy places the organism in Eukaryota, Metazoa, Arthropoda, Arachnida, Ixodida, Argasidae. The transcript is spliced from 6 exons.
UCAGCCAUCUUUUCUCAGCCUGGUAAAGAACACGGAGCAUGCGUGUUGUAUAUGUUUUCAACUAGGAAGGUACAGAGGGUCGUCUUCUGCGCAGCAGGGAAAGCACAGACGUUUUUGAGGAGAAUGGGAUUGGAAUGGACUGGUCUGGGUGCCACACGGUCAAGGGGGAAGAGCAACCUUGAAUAUUUGGCUCCGGAGACACAAGGAGGUUACCCUUUCUUCCAUUUUCAGCUACACAAUAAGAGCGCUCAGAAUGAGCGAAGGCACAGAGGUUAGUCUUACAUUCUAAAAUGGAUAAAACCACCAGCGCAAGGAAAGAAGAAAAAAAAAACGAAAGAAGAAGAAAGGGACAAAAACGAGACAACACAAAGCACGGAUUGCCAGCCAAAGACUUUUAUUCGUGAGGAAUUGUAGGUGAAGAAUCUUUCAGCUUUGGUUCCUGAAAACACCGAGGUGGAAUCGCAGGGGAAAAACAACCCUGAAAUUUUGGCUUCAGAAAACACAAAGGUUAGUCUUACGUUCUAUAUCGUACCUGACGAAGGAUGGACUCCGUC